GAUAGUCUAGGUACAGCUAGUACCCAAUGUACACUGGUGAUAGUCUAGGUACAGCUAGUACCCAAUGUACACUGGUGAUAGUCUAGGCUCAGCUGGUACCCAAGGAACACAAGCUAUAGUCUAGGUACAGUUGGUACCCAAGGUACAAUGGCUAGUCUAGGUACAGCUGGUACCCAAGGUACACUGGUGAUAGUCCAGGUACAGCACGUACCCAAGGUACACAGGUGAUAGUCCAGGCUCAGCUGGUACCCAAGAUACACUGGUGAUAGUCUGGGUACAGGUGGUACCCAAGGUACACUGGUGAUAGUCCAGGUACAGGUGGUACCCAAGGUACACUGGCGAUAGUCUAGGUAUAUAGGUUAGGUAUAGCCUGGUACCUAAGGUACACUGGUGAUAGUGUAGGUAGAUGGGUUAGGUACAACAUGGUACUUAAGGUACACUGGUUAGAGGUACACGAUGGAGGUACACAGGGAUACAGAAUUCUCAAUAUUUUACAGGAGCUACAGAUGUUUUGGAGACAGCCAAUUGCCUUCAAGCUUGACAAUCCACACUUUUAAUCCUUUGCCUUAUGUAACUUUACCAUUUAUCCAAAAGUUUAUACAUGAAUAUACUGUACAGUGCUUUCAUUUUGAAGUUGUUCAAUUAAAGUAAAUUUACAGAAUUUUAGUUCAAAGGAACUAUAUUCUCUUUCAAAAGGCAACUAAUUUGCAGGAUUUACUUUUUUCGACAUGACUGAAGCUUUGAUAAAUUAUUUCUAAAAAGAAACCAUACCUUGCCAGACUUUUAUGAAUAAAUAACGAAAAUGAAAUAAACAAAAUAUGAUAAACAAGUGUUAUAAAUAUAAAAAGAAUUAGCUAGGCUAUAAACCGUAUUUGAACCCUGGACUGUAAAUUGUUGUACUAUCGCUCUUACCGACCGAGUUACCUGGUCAUCAAAAGCCUCCUGGCCCUAAUGUGCUACAGUUUUAUCCUAAACGAAAUUAAGGGGAGGUUACUGCAUAUACAGAAGUUCACAGUGCAGUGGUACAGUGAUUGUUAACUUUCACUUUCCAUUCUCAACAAGAUAUCCCUUAUCAGCAAGUGUUACGUAUAGGGUCGGUAAAAAGUUGGUCUCGGAUUAGUCGAGUCCAGGUAAAUAGAUUCUACGUAUCAGAAAGCAUGUACAGUAUACACAAGUACAGGUUUACCUUUCUUAGAUGGAGUUUUUAUAACAUAGACCGGACAUUUUGGAAAACAAGUCCUUGAGCAGGUCUAAGGUAAGCUAUAUCACACAGUGGCAGUGUGAGCACUGAGGUGAAACCAAUAAAACUGAAACAAGGAAAUGUGUAUCACACAAAUAUUAAAGAAAAAAUCUGGUGAUGUAUGGGGACCAUUUCAUUUCACAUGUUAUUGUGUUUGAACAGUUUAUGGUCACCAAAGCAACCACAAUUAGCACUUCAGUUUCUUAUGGUACAUAUCACGAGAAAAACCAUGGUCACCAUAGAAACCAAUCUGUCACACUGUGAUUUCGGGUGUCACCAUUGGAAAACCCAUCGCCGAAACAGUUGCGAUAAACAUAGGAACUAUUAAGUAAAAUGUUAUCACACCAAAGUCUAUCUCAAAAGCACUCUCUUCACGAAAAAAAUCAACCCUUACUGAAUACUAAAACAUUAGCUGUAGAAGUGCUGGGUUGAAGACAUGGUUGACACACACACAGGCCAGUUAAUGCUCUUAGAGGAAAUUAAACAUAACCCCACAAUGUGCACACUACACUACAGUGCAAGGCAUACAUCACUAAGAUCUACUAGUCACAAACUGAAGCCUACAGGGAACACUGUACAGGUUCCAGUGUUAUCCUAAUUGCCCUGGUUAUGUAGAACUAUACAUGCUACCAUGGACAGAUCUACGGGGAGUUUGUCACAAAUGUUAAAGACAAUGCAAAAAUGGACCAUUUGAAAAAGGCCUUUUUUUAAUGGAUUAAAGACAGGAAAAAGUAGUAAAGUUAAAUACUUCAGAAUUAUUUUACAAACAUGGACAUGGGUAAUGACAGAAAGGAAGCAGUCUACACAUACAAGCCAUGACGGAUACUUAGUGCUGAAGCAUAUGACCUACCAAAACUCGAAAGUAUCAGGAUGGGAUCUAGGGAUGAAAUCAUAGAUAUAAUGCUACAAAGACAAUACUUCAGAUGUAAUUGUGUAUUUUAAGUACACAAAGUUUCAUAAAGUUUAAAGUUUUUUUGUUGUUUUUUUGUAAAUGCUGAAAACCACUCAUAUCAUCAGUUAAAUAAUAACCUCAACUGAAAAUCUGAAAUAGUAUUGCAGCUGUUCCCUGAGUGUAGUCUACAUCUAAAUAAAAUCACCUCUUUUUUACUGACUGAAAAAAACUCAGCAGUCUUUAUUAAAACAAGUUCACAAAGAUUCUCAACACUCAGCAUUCUGGUACAAACAUUUUGGUUAAGAGGAAAUUUGAGGGAAUUGAUCGCAAUCACACAGCAGGUUGGUAAGAUCUGUCGAGUAUAAAAA
RNAcentral lists this long non-coding RNA (2500 nucleotides) under Mizuhopecten yessoensis (Yesso scallop). Its description in RNAcentral is "uncharacterized LOC110464246". The record is from RNAcentral. Lineage: Eukaryota; Metazoa; Mollusca; Bivalvia; Pectinida; Pectinidae.